UGCGGCACCUGCCUCGUUCGACGACAACAAAGAGGAGAGGAUAGCAACAAAGGACCAAAGUUGCGGGCCCCAGGAAAGAGGUACAUACAGCAGCACUGGUGAAGCAACGUCUGGUGCUACAAUAAUGGUGCCACAGUAUCGUGAACAUGUACAUGUGUGCAUACAUGGACAAGCAAUGAUAAUGGCAACCUGUUUCCGGUAAAAUGGCUCAUGAUACUCUGGCAUGUCAUGGAUAUUUGGAUCAUAACGUUGCUUCACAUAUUCAUGAGCAUCAAAGUCACCAUGCAAGAUGUGCACAUCAAGACAUUGGGAAGCUGCUUUGGCCCCACGAAGGUGAUUUACAGUAUUUCAAGCUAGCAGCGAUUACUAAGCAACUGUCCUGCAUUCCUCACUUACAGGAACUGGAACAUUCGAAGUGUUGUAGGGGAUAGUGGGUGUACUUCCCCUUCUGAAGGACAUCCCGCCAUUGUGUGCACUAAAAGUUUCCUUGUCUCAGUGCUGUUACUCGGUCAUGUAUCAAAGUAUGUCAUGGUUAUGUCCAGGGGCUUUCUGGUGCUCUGCUCGAUCUCUGUGGACGAUAGCUGUUCAUGAGCCCCCGAACAGAAGGAAGAGACU
Molecule: long non-coding RNA, 615 nt
Organism: Ornithodoros turicata
Lineage: Eukaryota; Metazoa; Arthropoda; Arachnida; Ixodida; Argasidae
Exons: 3
Source: RefSeq, a predicted model, not a curated record